CUACGGGGUGCAGCAGUGGGGAAUAUUGCACAAUGGGCGCAAGCCUGAUGCAGCCAUGCCGCGUGUAUGAAGAAGGCCUUCGGGUUGUAAAGUACUUUCAGCGGGGAGGAAGGGAGUAAAGUUAAUACCUUUGCUCAUUGACGUUACCCGCAGAAGAAGCACCGGCUAACUCCGUGCCAGCAGCCGCGGUAAUGACGGAGGGUGCAAGCGUUAAUCGGAAUUACUGGGCGUAAAGCGCACGCAGGCGGUUUGUUAAGUCAGAUGUGAAAUCCCCGGGCUCAACCUGGGAACUGCAUCUGAUACUGGCAAGCUUGAGUCUCGUAGAGGGGGGUAGAAUUCCAGGUGUAGCGGUGAAAUGCGUAGAGAUCUGGAGGAAUACCGGUGGCGAAGGCGGCCCCCUGGACGAAGACUGACGCUCAGGUGCGAAAGCGUGGGGAGCAAACAGGAUUAGAUACCCGGGUAAUC
This 465-nucleotide ribosomal RNA is filed under the name uncultured bacterium. RNAcentral describes it as "partial 16S ribosomal RNA". It matches the Rfam family "Bacterial small subunit ribosomal RNA", at positions 339 to 795 of the family's 1533-position model. The record is from RNAcentral.